UGCCCCGUGGUGUAAUGGUAGCACACCGGAUUCUGGUUCCGUUUGUGAGCGUUCGAGUCCUUCCGGGGCAA
RNAcentral lists this transfer RNA (71 nucleotides) under Muribaculaceae bacterium. RNAcentral describes it as "tRNA-Gln". It matches the Rfam family "tRNA". From Rfam's summary of the family: Transfer RNA (tRNA) molecules are approximately 80 nucleotides in length. Their secondary structure includes four short double-helical elements and three loops (D, anti-codon, and T loops). The record is from RNAcentral. Lineage: Bacteria; Pseudomonadati; Bacteroidota; Bacteroidia; Bacteroidales; Muribaculaceae.